UCUACUGAUACACUGUAUUAAUGGAGGUGUGUCUACUGAUACACUGUAUUAAUGGAGGUGUGUCUACAGAUACACUGUAUCUAAUAACAAUCAAUAUGGACCAUCUGUAGGCCUGAUAACAAUAUGGACCAUCUGUAGGCCUGAUAACAAUAUGGACUAUCUGUAGGCCUGAUAACAAUAUGGACCAUCAGUAGGUCUGAUAACAAUCAAUAUGGACCAUCAGUAGGCCUGAUAACAAUUAAUAUGGACCAUCAGUAGGCCUGAUAACAAUCAAUAUGGACCAUCAGUAGGUCUGAUAACAAUCAAUAUGGACCAUCUGUAGGCCUGAUAACAAUAUUGACCAUCUGUAGGCCUGAUAACAAUAUGGACCAUCUGUAGGCCUGAUAACAAUAUGGGCCAUCUGUAGGCCUGAUGACAAUAUGGACCAUCAGUAGGCCUGAUAACAAUAUGGACCAUCAGUAGGACUGAUAACAAUAUGGACCAUCACUAGGUCUG
This is a long non-coding RNA of Oncorhynchus tshawytscha (Chinook salmon), 495 nucleotides long. NCBI's taxonomy places the organism in Eukaryota, Metazoa, Chordata, Actinopteri, Salmoniformes, Salmonidae. The record is from Ensembl.